CAGCAGCCGCGGGAAUACGGAGGGGGCUAGCGUUGUUCGGAAUUACUGGGCGUAAAGCGCACGUAGGCGGCUUUGUAAGUUAGAGGUGAAAGCCUGGGGCUCAACUCCAGAAUUGCCUUUAAGACUGCAUCGCUUGAACGUCGGAGAGGUGAGUGGAAUUCCGAGUGUAGAGGUGAAAUUCGUAGAUAUUCGGAAGAACACCAGUGGCGAAGGCGGCUCACUGGACGACUGUUGACGCUGAGGUGCGAAAGCGUGGGGAGCAAACAGGAUUAGAUACCCCAGUAGUCCCUGUCUCUUAUAC
This 301-nucleotide ribosomal RNA is filed under the name uncultured bacterium. RNAcentral's name for it is "partial 16S ribosomal RNA". It matches the Rfam family "Bacterial small subunit ribosomal RNA", at positions 509 to 807 of the family's 1533-position model. The record is from RNAcentral.